Molecule: ribosomal RNA, 253 nt
Filed under: uncultured bacterium
Lineage: Bacteria
Description: partial 16S ribosomal RNA
Rfam family: Bacterial small subunit ribosomal RNA
Source: RNAcentral
UACGUAGGUGGCAAGCGUUGUCCGGAUUUACUGGGCGUAAAGAGCGCGCAGGCGGUCGUUCAAGUCGCGUGUGAAAGCCCCCGGCUCAACUGGGGAGGGUCACGCGAUACUGAUCGACUCGAAGGCAGGAGAGGGUAGUGGAAUUCCCGGUGUAGUGGUGAAAUGCGUAGAUAUCGGGAGGAACACCAGUGGCGAAGGCGACUACCUGGCCUGUUAUUGACGCUGAGGCGCGAAAGCUAGGGGAGCGAACAGG